AAUAGACUUAUUUCCGACGGCUGG
Molecule: microRNA, 24 nt
Filed under: Zea mays
Lineage: Eukaryota; Viridiplantae; Streptophyta; Magnoliopsida; Poales; Poaceae
Description: microRNA miR-3023b
Source: RNAcentral